This 482-nucleotide ribosomal RNA is filed under the name uncultured bacterium. RNAcentral describes it as "partial 16S ribosomal RNA". It matches the Rfam family "Bacterial small subunit ribosomal RNA", at positions 30 to 507 of the family's 1533-position model. The record is from RNAcentral.
AUUGAACGCUGGCGGCAUGCUUUACACAUGCAAGUCGAACGGUAACAGGCCGCUAGGUGCUGACGAGUGGCGAACGGGUGCGUAAUGCAUCGGAACGUGCCCAGCCGUGGGGGAUAACUACUCGAAAGAGUAGCUAAUACCGCAUACGAUCUAUGGAUGAAAGCGGGGGACCGUAAGGCCUCGCGCGAUUGGAGCGGCCGAUGUCAGAUUAGGUAGUUGGUGGGGUAAAGGCUCACCAAGCCAACGAUCUGUAGCUGGUCUGAGAGGACGAGCAGCCACACUGGGACUGAGACACGGCCCAGACUCCUACGGGAGGCAGCAGUGGGGAAUUUUGGACAAUGGGCGCAAGCCUGAUCCAGCAAUGCCGCGUGCAGGAAGAAGGCCUUCGGGUUGUAAAGUGCUUUUGUACGGAACGAAACGGCGCUGGUUAAUACCCGGGGCUAAUGACGGUACCGGAAGAAUAAGCACCGGCUAACUACGUG